This 497-nucleotide ribosomal RNA is filed under the name uncultured bacterium. RNAcentral's name for it is "partial 16S ribosomal RNA". It matches the Rfam family "Bacterial small subunit ribosomal RNA", at positions 28 to 507 of the family's 1533-position model. The record is from RNAcentral.
GACGAACGCUGGCGGCGUGCCUAAUACAUGCAAGUUGAGCGCUGAAGGUUGGUACUUGUACCAACUGGAUGAGCAGCGAACGGGUGAGUAACGCGUGGGGAAUCUGCCUUUGAGCGGGGGACAACAUUUGGAAACGAAUGCUAAUACCGCAUAAAAACUUUAAACACAAGUUUUAAGUUUGAAAGAUGCAAUUGCAUCACUCAAAGAUGAUCCCGCGUUGUAUUAGCUAGUUGGUGAGGUAAAGGCUCACCAAGGCGAUGAUACAUAGCCGACCUGAGAGGGUAAUCGGCCAAACUGGGACUGAGACACGGCCCAAACUCCUGCGAGAGGCAGCAGUAGGGAAUCUUCGGGAAUGGACGAAAGUCUGAACGAGCAACGACGCGUGAGAGAAGAAGGUUUUAGGAUCGUAAAACUCUGUUAGUAGAGAGGAACGUUGGGGAGAGUGGAAAGCUCAUCAAGUGACGGUAACUACAGAAAAAGGGACGGCUAACUACGUG